This 73-nucleotide transfer RNA is filed under the name Paramuricea clavata. It matches the Rfam family "tRNA". Rfam says of the family: Transfer RNA (tRNA) molecules are approximately 80 nucleotides in length. Their secondary structure includes four short double-helical elements and three loops (D, anti-codon, and T loops). Lineage: Eukaryota; Metazoa; Cnidaria; Anthozoa; Malacalcyonacea; Plexauridae. The record is from Rfam by way of RNAcentral.
GACCACGUAGCUCAGUUGGCAGAGCAUUGGGCUAGUAUUCCAAAGGUCGUGGGUUCGAAUCCCACCGUGGCCG